Molecule: small nucleolar RNA, 138 nt
Filed under: Ornithorhynchus anatinus (platypus)
Lineage: Eukaryota; Metazoa; Chordata; Mammalia; Monotremata; Ornithorhynchidae
Source: RNAcentral
CCCCUCUCAGGGUGGCACCUAGAGAGUUUCCAGUCCUCUACCAGUCUCAACUAUGGGAGGGAGAGUCAAGCAGAGACAUACCCAUUCCAUUCCUAGCUUGGCCAGGGGCUAGCGAGUGGAAGACCAUCUGCUACAAGU